UGCGGGGUGGAGCAGUGGCAGCUCGUUGGGCUCAUAACCCAAAGGCCGCAGGUUCGAAUCCUGCCCCCGCUA
RNAcentral lists this transfer RNA (72 nucleotides) under Pseudomonadota bacterium. Its description in RNAcentral is "tRNA-Met". It matches the Rfam family "tRNA". From Rfam's summary of the family: Transfer RNA (tRNA) molecules are approximately 80 nucleotides in length. Their secondary structure includes four short double-helical elements and three loops (D, anti-codon, and T loops). The record is from RNAcentral. Lineage: Bacteria; Pseudomonadati; Pseudomonadota. RNAcentral also lists the same sequence under 3 other names.